RNAcentral lists this long non-coding RNA (8720 nucleotides) under Sus scrofa (pig). RNAcentral's name for it is "lncRNA (ENSSSCG00055008971.1)". Lineage: Eukaryota; Metazoa; Chordata; Mammalia; Artiodactyla; Suidae. The record is from RNAcentral.
GGAUUGAACCCACAACUUCAUGGAUGUUAUUUGGGUUCAUUACUGCUGAGCCACAAUGGGAACUCCCGUUCUGAUACUUGAUCCUUUGAUAUGACUUGUUCUUUCUCUUUGGAAGUUUUGUUGGGUCUUUUCUGUCUUCCCAGUGUUCUGAAAUUUCAGGAAAUGAUGUGCCUUUGUGGGGUCUUUUUCUGUUUGGCAUUUGUAAUGUUAGAAGUCAUGUCCUUCAAAUGAAGGACAUUUUUUCUCUGUUCCUUCAAUAAUCUCCUCUCCUGCAUUUUCUGAGUUCCUUCUCUCAUUAAUGAUUUUAUUUUGGACCUUCGGUCCUCUCGUGGCCUCUCAUGACUCUGGUUUUUCUUCUCUCUACUAUUAAGUCCAGUUUCUUGAAGGAUUUCAGUGUAUUAGUUUCCUAAUGCUACCAUAACAAAUUACCACAAACUCAGAGGUUUGAAAUGUUACGGCAGCUGCCCAGCAGCCCUGCACUGCAGCGUAUCAGCUCUGGUGACAGCCCUGUGGCUGUAGUGCACCAGCUCCAGCAGCUCUGUGGCUGCCGUGGAUCAGCUCUUUCACCUGGUGAGAAACCAUGCGAGCCCUCGGAGAGGUGGAGAACUCAGGCUUAUUACGUCGGCGGGCUCAGAGGAGAUCGCCCUCCGGAGUCUGAGCCCCAAAGAGGGGUUUCACAAGGAUUUUAUGGGCUAGUUCUUCCGGGUUCAUGCUUGGCGGACCAGAGUGAGAACUGGCAAGUUUACGGAAGCAGAUGUGUGGGGGAGGGGUGGUUAGGGGUAGUUGGCCGGGUUUUGUUUCGUCAUGAGGGUGGUGGGUCUCUCCUUUCUACAUUUUUAUCAGGACAUUUUCUCCUGCAUUCCCACCUCUUGAUGCUUUUCCACUUUCUUGGAUCAAGCACCAAUUUUUAGAGGUCAAGUUGUGUCUGAUGUAUCCGGGGGGGGCAUACUGUAUCCUGACUAACAUUUGCAACCUUAUAGACUAUUCGUGUGGUUAUGAAAUGAGUAAUUGCAUUAAGAAUUCAGGGCCCAAACAAGAGGGCAAUGAUGGGUAUAGUCAGAGGCCCAGUUAAGUGUAGGAGCCAUGAAGUCCAGUUCCAGUUCUUAUUCCAAUAGUUUGAAGAUUCUGCCAAUUCUUGCCUUCUCUUGGUUAUUCGCUCUUUUAAUUGUGCCAUGCUGCUGAUUACUCCUGACUUGUUGGCGUCAAGAUAGCAUUCUUCCUUACGGAAUAAGCAGAGUUCCCCUUUUCUGCUGUCAGUAAUUCUAGUCCCCUCCUAUUUUGUAAUACCACCUCCAUCAGGAGUCCAGUUGCUGUUGGGCUUCUAUGGCCGCUACAGUGGCCUUCCAAGACUCUUGAACCAUUAUAGUCAGGUUAAGUACUGAUCUCUCCAACAGAGGUACUCCAGCAAACCAAAAUAAUCCUCUAAAGAUAAAAUGUCUACCCCUUGGUUUUGAAAAGAGAGGCUGUUUUACCACUAACAUGCUAAUUAGCCCCAUGGGCUAGCCUCAUUCUGGGUCUCCCCAUGGUUCUGCGUGCUCCAGUUUUAGGUCUUUCAGAAGACUACUGGACUGAUGGUGCUGGUGCUGGAGAGCAGGGUGUGGAUGUUGGCAGUGUUAUUGACCUCUGUGUGUAAUGUGUAGGUGAACCCACCUAGUGUUCCCUCCAGCUGGAUGAGGUCCUCUACGGCUGUGGGGUGAGCCUCGACCUCAACAUCUCGUACCCCUGUAGGGUUGUUCUCGUGCAAGCAUGCCCAACAAUUCGUCCUGUAUACCAAUUUUGACAUUUGAGAUACUAUUGAACUCCACGGGUGGGGGAACCUGGAUCUGUUUCUUGGUCAUAAAGGCUAUUAUUAGGGUGAGGAGCCCCCUCAUUAUGUUUGUUAGCUGGUGAUGAGGAGGACUCCCAGUGUACUGGAAGUCAGAAGAUACACCAUACAAACAAACAACCUAGGGCCCUCUUCCCAUUCCCGACUUCAAGUGCAAGGGUUAGGGUGAUUUCAAUGGCUAAUGUCCCACACCAGAACACGAGUUCAAGUUAAGUCUCACGUGGAACUCCUCAGGCUUCUACCGUGCAUCGACUGACCAGCUUCCAGGGGUGGCCAGAGCAGGGCUUAGCGCUCUCCAAUGAUGGUGAAGGGAGUAUUUGGAACUGGACCUUGAGGAGAUUCUUGAGGUGCUGUAUAGCCUCCCAGGUGUCCAUGUCAGCAGCGGAUGCAGCCUUCUUGAUUCUGGUGUGAUGGAUCCAUGGGAUAAUACCAGUAACCUUUAUAGCAGUUGGGGUUGCUAUGCAACACUUAAUUUACAAAUGUUAAUCAAUAGCCACAUCAAAGGAUGUAUCGAAGCCCAUGUUCCUACACUGACUACCUGAGUCAAUAUUCUGCCUCAAUUCCCCCCCAAGUUGGAGACUCUGUGGGGAAAGGGGGCAAUGACUGCUCUGACUUCUUUCUGCUGAAAUGGGGCGUCAUAUGGGAAAGCAGUUAGGUCUCCACUCAUGGGACGGUCAAGUGGGCUUUGAGACAUUGCUUUGGGUACCCCCCUGUACCAACAUUUGAAGGUUGAUAGCUUUUCAUCAGGAUGUAAUGAAGCGAGAAAUACAAUUAAUUAUACAGGGUCUGAAUAAAAGGACCAAGAUCACAAUGAAUAUGGUGAAGAAAUAUUUUCACCAAGAGGAGGAGGUCACCUGGUUCCACAGGGCAGCUCCAAAAGCGGGAGCUGGAUAGGACCGCUCAUGAAUCUACUGUUGAAGAUCUAGCAGGGAAUUAGACACAUUCUGUGAACAAUCAGGAAUACAACAUUUAGAUUUUAUAAUAGCACAGGUAACUGGCAUGAUUUUUCUGGUUUCUCUGGCUGGUUAUGAAAUAUUUGUAUGCCUUGGUCAGCAUGUAAUUGAAAGCUACCUUAUGUCCUUGUGAGGAGUAUGAUUUAUGGCACCACCUUACUUUUAAAGAUUCUCUUCUCAGUGUCCACUUCCCACACACCUUGUAUCACUUUCUGUAUCCAUAUUAGUCUGUCCCUUAUUUUCCAACCAGAGCAAUCAUCUGAAGACAGACUAUUUUUCUUUUGCCUUAAUAAAAUGCAAUUCAUUCCUCAUUCCUUCUAUAUUGAAAACACACACAUUCUACUUUUCUCAAGCAACCACGGACUGUCCUUUAUAAUUUCUAAAAACACACGUUUUUCUUAUAGAGACCAUCUCAGGGUGGCACUGAUCAUAUUGAUUAAUCAUUCUCAAUACCUUUAGUUUCUGUUUAGUGAUUGAUGUCUCAGUGUCUCAUUUGACUUCUGUUAAACCUAGGUAUGAUAAGAUAUUAUACCUAAUGUUGCCAGCUAUAAUGACAUGUAUGUAUUAAUUAGGUCAACAAACUUCAAUUCUAAUUUAAGAUAUUAAUACUGAAUAUUUCCCCAUUUACUUGAACCUAAAAUUAAUUCUGGCCAGUUAGUUACCUUCCAUAUUUUGAGAAUUUAUAUAUGCAAAGCCUUAUUCAAGGAAAUGCAGAAAAAAAAGGCAUCUUUUAAAUCUAAUACAGUUAUCCAUGCUGCUGUUUCUGGGAAUUUGUGAAAGAAGAGUGUAGGGACUGGGCACCACUGGAUGUAAUGGGACCACUGUCUCAUAUAUUAGAUGAAGGUCUUGUACUAGGCACCAAUCCCUGUUAAGUUUUUGCACUCUCAAUAUAGAAGUGUUACAAGGGCUGUUACAUUCAAUUAAAAAUCUCUGUUCUCUUACAUUUCCUAUAAUUGGGAUAAGUCCCUGUCGUGUCUUGGGUCUCAGAGGAUACUGCCUUUGGCAAAGAAAUAAAUUCUGAUCUUUAAGACUUAUUUCCACCGGUUGAGUAUUCUUUGCUCUUCCUAUCUUUCCCCCUUUGGCCCAGACUUCUGGGUCAAUAUAUACUUCCAUCAAAGGCAGGCAUAAAUCUUGAUUAGCCUCCAUUGCCAUGUGCCUUUUUUUUUUUUUAUGGCCACACCCGUGGCAUAUGGAGGUUCCCAGGCUAAGGGUUCAAUCAUAGCUGAAGCCACCAGCCUAUGCCACAGCUGCAGCCACGUGAGAUCUGAGCAACCUACACCACAGCUCACAUCAGUGACCAGAUCCCCAACCCACUGAGCAAAGACAGGGAUUGAACCUGAAACCUCAUGGUUCCUAGUCAGAUUUGUUUCUGCUGUGCCACGAUGGGAAAUCCUCCAUUGCCACGUGAAUUGAAGCUUUAACCGCUUACAAAAUAUCUCUUUCUAAAAGAGUUGGACUCUGGAACAAUCAGAAAGCUGAUAGACUCUCUUGUUCCCCUAGUAAACCUCUGAUAAUUUUUAACAGGUUUUACUCAUGAGGCUUUUAAUUCCUCAACUACACAAGUAAUAAAAUGAUUUCUAUGCCAAUUGUGGUUAUCUCCCUCAUCAGCAGACCAACUGGGAUCACUCAUAGGAACUGCCGGACACCCUGUGGGGAAUCUUGUUCCAUCUCUUCUAAUUUGCCUCUGGCAUUUAUAGCAUCAUUCCAUUCAUCUUCCCCAGCUUUGAGCAGUUUCAAAGAUUUUAUGUAUUUUUUUUCACUUAUAGUCAAUGUCUGUUUUAGUAAUAACAUGACGUCCUUCCAGGCUAACCUAUAUCUGGCCCCAUUCUCCGUUUGCCACUUCUUAUAAAGGGAGUAGAGAGGGAUAUAACUUCAGCACUGGAGCGGGAAGAGGAGGAGCCUUGGGCAGUAUGGAGAAGGCUGAUUAACUUCUGGAGGGUCUGACCCAGUUGGGCCAGGAUAUGGUGGGCACCUAGGUCUUGAGGGAGUUGGCAUAAUGUACUGAGAAAGCCCACAAGCCUUCCUCAGUGUAGUGUCUUCCCUCACCGUAAAGAAGAUCUGACAUAAGGCAUCUCUGACCAUUUCCCUCCUCAUCUACCAAAUAGGUCUCAUUGGAGAAUAGUACUAUAAGCUAGAGAGCCUUCAGAUGGCCACUGCUCUCCAUCUGACAGAUUACAUAGUGGCCAGGUUUUGUGCAGAAGAAAAUUAAAUGUUUCUUUUUCAGAGUCUCAGGGUAAAACUUUUUCCAGUUCUUCAAGGCACAUGUCAGAGGAGUUGCUAUUGAGCCAUGCACCAGGCUUGAGGAGGUGGCUCCCAACCAAAAAAGAGAAAAGAUCAGCAUCCAGUGCCUAUUGUCCCUUCUUGGUUAUGUGAGGGCGACCCCUCUCUUAGAUGGAGCAGCUGGACAUUAGUGGUCAAAUAUCCCAUCCUACCUUAGGCUGACUGGAAUUGACCACUCUUUACCAGCAGAGCCUCUCUUCCCGUCAUCCCUGCCCAUUGCCUGUCUCUGGACAGAGGUAAAGAAAACUCAGGCAUACAGGCCCUGCCCUGAGUUUUCAGAUCCUAAGAUGCUCUCUCUGACAUGCCCUCUAUUAAUGUUAGGAAAGUUUCUAAGCCACAGUUAACAGGUAAAUUGGAUGAACCAGCUGUUGAUUUCUCCAACGAGGGUGAAAGUAAAUAGCAAAAAGCAAAACUGACAUGCCCAGGCCCUGAGGCUAAACACUUGGCCUAAGUUGGAUGAAUACUAGUUAGGAACUCCUUUUCCUCCGCAGGCCUGGUAACAACUCAGGGUGGUCUUAAGAUCUAGAUGUCUGUUUCCUUUGUCCCCACAGCUCUAUUUGAGGUAAUAGCAAAGGAAAUGAUGAAAGAUCAGGUCAGUUUUACACUGUAAUCUUCAGAAAAUCCCUUUUUGAAAUAUUUGAUCACACAGUCUAGCACCAUGGGUUUAGACUUGGGUGAACCCAUGGUGUCUUUCUGUGGAUCUUGUCUGUGGCCUGAUAUUAUGAGACCUUCUCUGACCUCGUGGGCGGUAUCCCCAAUAGCAUUGCCUCUGCCACUCCUGUACGCAAGACAGCUCCCACUCAGCUCGCUCUAUGGCUGGGGAGAGUACCUGCUUUGUUGCAAGUGUCUCUGAUCCAUCUAGGCCCCAGGUCUGGGGAAGGCACUCUCAGAGAAGUUCUAAUGUUUUGGCAAAGGACAGGGGGUCUCACACCCAAUCCUCCCUAUACCCAGAACUGAGACAGGGAUGACGGUCUUGUCUCCCUGACUCAGAUCCUGGGCCUACCCGAACUGACAAAAUGGGCAGUCCCGCGGUUUAGAAUCUGGGCUGGGGGUUCCUGGAGGCCCAGGGGCAAGGUCAAGUUAGAUUAUCUCCUUGGAGAAAUUUAUGGCCCCAAAUGGAGGAAGCACAGGUGUCUCUGACUCAUGGGCUUCUGGGUUAGGUCCCACCCCAUGUGGCCACCCUGUGCCGGUGUCGCAGACAAAACAAGGGAGGGUGCCCCCUUCUCAGAAGGUGGCCAUUCAGAUGUCCGCCUGACCGCCCCCCUCUCGGGAGUUUAGGUGCCUCUUAGCAAUUGGCUGGUUCGUAUAAGCCCCGAACUUGUAUUGGACUCGCAGGGAGGGAAGAGAACCCUCAGAAUCCGCUACAGCCAUAAGCCAUAUGAGGUCACCACGGAACUGCAGGUUAGGACCCACUCGGACUCCGUAGCCACUAAGACCGUGGAGCCACAAACUCGAACCUGAAGCGCAAGCGAAUCAGGCCGCCCAUUCACCCUCACACACACUCAGAGGUUAUCACAAUGCCUCCCUCUCCCUGGGAAUCCUUAACUAGUAGCUCCAUCAAGCGCAAAUUUCAACUGGCUACACCUGACCGUUGCUCCACCCAAGCAAGGGGUUCCUCUGCUUCCGAUCUGGAGCACGAGGACCCCUGCUCUGGGUCAAGCACAGCCUCCGACCGGGAGAGUCUCCCUAAGGGGGUGAUCAGUCCCCUCUUCUGCCCACUGGGGCAGGACCUGACUGGGGUUGGCCCCGGGGCCCUACCUUGUCCGGAUGCCUUCCUGGUGAGUUGGUCCAUCUCUCCACUGAGUCCGGUCAGGGUUCAGUCACCCGGGAGUCAGGAAUGUCACUCACAAAGGAGGACCCAGAAUACCGUCGGGUGGUGCACUGCCUCAUUCGGCUCGAGGCUCCCCAGCUCCCAGGCAGCCUUACCUCUGUUCUGGUGGCUCAAGGGGCCAGAACAGUUGAAAUCUCGCUGGGGCCUCCAGAAAUUUACAGCAGCUGCCCAGCAGCUCUGCACCGCAGUGUAUCAGCCAUGGCGACAGCCCUGUGGCUGUAGUGUACCAGCUCCAGCAGCUCUGUGGCUGCAGUGGAUCAGCUCUUUCACCUGACGAGAAAGCACGCGAGACCCGGGAGAGGUGGAGAACUCAGGCUUAUUACACCGGCGGGCCCAGAGGAGAUCGCCCUCUGACGUCUGAGCCCCAAAGAGGGGUUUCACAAGGCUUUUAUAGGCUUGUUCUUCCGGGUUCAUGCUUGGCGGACCAGAGUGAGAACUGGCAAGUUUACGGAAGCAGAUGUGUGGGAGGGGGCAGUUAGGGGUAGUUGGCCGGGUGUUGCUUCGUCAUCUGGGUGGGGUCUCGCCUUUCUACAUUUUUAUCAGGACAUUUUCUCCUACAAAAACAGCACUUAAUCUUUGCUCCUAGAGGCUGCUCCCUCCUUAUCAUGCUUUCCACAAGCACCUAGAGGCCUUUCUCAGGUAGUGUCCUUACCUGAGGCCCCUACCCCCCUCAAAUCUUGCUCACUGAGUCUUUAGGAUUCCUCUUCUGUGGUUAGACACUCAUGUGAUUACAUUGGGCCUUACUUGGUAAUCCAGGACCAUCUCCCUCUGUUAAUAAAGAUUAGCUGAUUAGUAACUGUAAUUCCACUUGUAAAGUUCCUUUAUAGUAACAUCUAGAUUAGUGUUUGUAUAAUUGGAGGGUGGGAAUUUUGUGGGGACAUACCUAGAAGUCUGUUUAUAACACUCAACUCUAUAUUUCAACUCUUAUCUCCUAAAUAUUCCUCUUUUAAAAAAAUAAAAAUAGCAUUCUAUUCUUGGGACUUAUGGAAAAUAUCGAAGACCUUAGUGAGUUUUUUUUUCUUUUAAGUUUCUCACCUUUGCUUUUUCUAUUUUCUGUUUCUUCUGUUUGUUAGUUUGGGGCUUUCUUUUGUCAUGUUAGAGGCUUUCCCCUAGGGUUCAGUUUUAGUCCUUGGCUCUCCGUCCAUAUUUAUGAAUGAGGGACUAGAAACUGACUGCAAACUCUGCACGUGGUAGGCUCCACCUAAGUAUCAUGGGGUGGGACAUUUCACUGGGGGACCUAGAGUGUCAGUGUAUAUGUUUUUCAGUUGGUUUUUUGGUUUGUUUGUUUAGGACUGGUUAGAAUUCCUGGAGAAGAAUGUGCCAGUCUCUGGUGGAGGACCUGGCCGCCAGUGAGGGUGGGGCCUGGGAGCAUCUCCAGAGUCAGUGGACAGCCUUCCUGAACCCUCCUGUAUCCAGUGUGGUUCUUCAAACCUCACGCCGCCUAGUGUUCUGGGGCAGAGUCCCUCUGCUCACUGUGUUCUGAAAAUAAACCUGCACCAUUUUGCUAAGGUUGGGGAGGGGAUCUACUAUUCCGUGAUAGAUUUUUUUCAAGCCAUCCUCCUGUUUUUUUUUGUUGUUGUUGUUGUUUGUUUUUUGUCUUUUUGCCUUUUGUAGGGCCGCUCCCACGGCAUAUGGAGGUUCCCAGGCUAGGAAUUGGAGCUGUAGCUGCCGGCCUAUGCCAGAGCCACAGCAACUCAGGAUCCGAGCCACAUCUGCGACCUACACCACAGCUCAUGGCAAUGCUGGAUCCUUAACCCACUGAGCAAGGCCAGGGAUCGAACCCACAACCUCAUGGUUCCUAGUCUGACCCUAAAAAAAAAAAAAAAAAAAA